UACGUAGGGUGCAAGCGUUGUCCGGAAUUAUUGGGCGUAAAGAGCUCGUAGGCGGUUUUUCGCGUCUGCUGUGAAAACCCGAGGCUCAACCUCGGGCCUGCAGUGGGUACGGGCAGACUAGAGUGCGGUAGGGGAGAUUGGAAUUCCUGGUGUAGCGGUGGAAUGCGCAGAUAUCAGGAGGAACACCAAUGGCGAAGGCAGAUCUCUGGGCCGUAACUGACGCUGAGGAGCGAAAGCAUGGGGAGCGAACAGG
Molecule: ribosomal RNA, 253 nt
Filed under: uncultured bacterium
Lineage: Bacteria
Description: partial 16S ribosomal RNA
Rfam family: Bacterial small subunit ribosomal RNA
Source: RNAcentral